AUUGAACGCUGGCGGCAGGCCUAACACAUGCAAGUCGAACGGUAGCACAGAGAGCUUGCUCUCGGGUGACGAGUGGCGGACGGGUGAGUAACGUCUGGGAAACUGCCCAAUGGAGGGGGAUAACUACUGGAAACGGUAGCUAAUACCGCAUAACGUCGCAAGACCAAAGUGGGGGACCUUCGGGCCUCACACCAUCGGAUGUGCCCAGAUGGGAUUAGCUAGUAGGUGGGGUAAUGGCUCACCUAGGCGACGAUCCCUAGCUGGUCUGAGAGGAUGACCAGCCACACUGGAACUGAGACACGGUCCAGACUCCUACGGGAGGCAGCAGGGGGGAAUAUUGCACAAUGGGCGCAAGCCUGAUGCAGCCAUGCCGCGUGUAUGAAGAAGGCCUUCGGGUUGUAAAGUACUUUCAGCGGGGAGGAAGGCGGUGAAGUUAAUAGCUUAACCGAUUGACGUUACCCGCAGAAGAAGCACCGGCUAACUCCGUGCCAGCAGCCGCCGUAA
RNAcentral lists this ribosomal RNA (504 nucleotides) under uncultured bacterium. RNAcentral describes it as "partial 16S ribosomal RNA". It matches the Rfam family "Bacterial small subunit ribosomal RNA", at positions 29 to 523 of the family's 1533-position model. The record is from RNAcentral.